UUGAAGGUCAUGAGGAUCUGUUGAAAGGCGUCAGGCAGGUGGAGUGAUGCAGUACAUGAAUAUUGCCAUAUUUCCACCCCGGUCUCUCAUCUGUAUCUGACACCAGCUGGGCUCGUGUCUUACUCGACCUUGCCCCUUCCCCACCCCCAGGUCUCCCUCCAGCAUCUCUGCUGCCACCACAGCCUGGCUGUCCCAUGAUGAGCCCUCUGGGAUCCCCAGGGUGCCUGCCCUCCUGCAGCCCCUGGUUCUGGCCUGUGAACCAGCACCUGGUUCUGGUUCUAAGCCUAUGGACAGGGGCUCCUGGGAGCCAGGUCUCGCCCUCCUGGUGGUCCCUGAACCGGCGCUGGGCUAGAGCACAGUCAGCACCUGAGAAUGAGCACACAGCCCAUCCCAGGUCCCCACCUCACGCUCCUCAUCACUGCCAGGCUCUUUGGACGUUAGGCAGACACACAGAACACUUCUUGUUAGUCUGUACUAAUUUGAGCACUUUCAUUUUACAGAGCCAGAAAGAAUUUGAAGCCCAAGUAUUCAAAGAUCCAAAUGAAUUCAGUGAGGUGUGAAUUCCUAAAUGUCUUCUCAACCACAGGAUUUAAAAGCUACCACUGAAAACUGGUAGUCCUGCAUUCUUAACCUGCAAAUAUCUUUGGGAACAAGAUUGCACUUGUGAGAAGCCAAGCCUGCAAUUGCCUGCAUCAUAAAAUCAUCCAAAACAUUCAUGAGUCCCACCUCGGGCUAAGCUGGCAGGGGCGGGGGAGGUGGGUAACCCAGCCUAACUCAGUCCCCUGCCCGGUCCGCAGUGUAGACGAAGGCUCUGCACCCUGCGACAGCCCCAUGACGCCCCUGCUGUCCCCCUCUGCUGGAGUCCCUCCUCCCCACCCCAGCAAGAGUGCUGUCGUGGAGAUGGUUCAAGGGAAUUCCCAUCACACAGGCUCAGAAACUGUACCGAUAGCCCCUCUAGAGAAGGUUCCUCCGAGCAGCCCUUCUCAGCAUCCCUGACCUCCCAGUCGUCAGGGUUCACAUGCAGCUACCAGGGAAAGGAACAGACAUGCACCCCAGAUCAUGUGUUGGUUAUGAUGCACUAACUGUGCAACUGCCUGGUGAUACCCAGAAAGUGAAGAAGUCACCUGUGUCCCCCUCCUGGGGGACCACCCUUCCCUCUGGGUGGAGCACAUGACCUCCUGAAGUGGCUCCUGUCUGGUCACCAGUGAAGGAGGAGCCGACCCUGAACACAUCCCGGAACCAGAAUCGGCCCCUAGACGCCAGCUUUCUGGCAGAGGAAAGGGCAGCCAUGGUGGGCCCAGCCCAGGAGACUAGAGAGUCCCAUCCCAGCCGCAUGGGGAUACACCGUUCCAGGUCCCGUCAUCCUAAGUGUGGUUUCCUGUGGCCCAAGCCUCCCACCAUAUCUGCCAGGAAAACAUUCCUCCCCAAGACCCGCAUCUUCUUGUCUGCCUGUUCCUCCUGCUGCCCUGCCUGCCCAUCCGGCCUAGGAUGGACCCGCUGGCCCUGGCAUCUCCACGGGAGAGACAGUCCACCUGGAAGGUGUCCGAGGAAACCAGAUAACAGGGUGUGGAGACACAGGAAGGGACAGACGGAGAGGGGCACCUGGAGGGCACCCGGCUCAGAAGAGACACUCCAUCCAAGUCAGCCCCAGACUCAGUCAUCCAGACGGCCUCCAGUGAAGACCCGGUGCUCUGGCCAUGUGUCAAGGACUCGGAACCGCCUGGAUCCUCAGACUGGAUUCGCUGUUUCUAUCAGUUGCAUUGUGAGAUAGGAGACGUGGCACUAAGCUAAGGGUUGGAGUCCUGGAGGACAGCGUUUCAUCAGCCCUCCCAUUAUUGCAGCCAUGCUAAGACCAACCCUCCUCACCCCAAGGGAAGCGGGCUCAGCACAGCCUCCAUCACCCUGCUGCCAGCCUCUGCUUUGUUCUCAGUUUCUAUUUACUUGUCUUGUGGUUUUUUUCAUUCUACACAAACAUAGGUCCAUAAACACAUA
Non-coding RNA from Odocoileus virginianus texanus, 1992 nucleotides. NCBI's taxonomy places the organism in Eukaryota, Metazoa, Chordata, Mammalia, Artiodactyla, Cervidae. The record is from RefSeq and is a predicted model, not a curated record.